AUUGAACGCUGGCGGCAGGCCUAACACAUGCAAGUCGAACGGUAACAGGAAUCAGCUUGCUGAUUUGCUGACGAGUGGCGGACGGGUGAGUAAUGUCUGGGAAACUGCCUGAUGGAGGGGGGUAACUACUGGAAACGGUAGCUAAUACCGCAUAACGUCGCAAGACCAAAGAGGGGGACCUUCGGGCCUCUUGCCAUCGGAUGUGCCCAGAUGGGAUUAGCUAGUAGGUGGGGUAAAGGCUCACCUAGGCGACGAUCCCUAGCUGGUCUGAGAGGAUGACCAGCCACACUGGAACUGAGACACGGUCCAGACUCCUACGGGAGGCAGCAGUGGGGAAUAUUGCACAAUGGGCGCAAGCCUGAUGCAGCCAUGCCGCGUGUAUGAAGAAGGCCUUCGGGUUGUAAAGUACUUUCAGCGGGGAGGAAGGGAGUAAAGUUAAUACCUUUGCUCAUUGACGUUACCCGCAGAAGAAGCACCGGCUAACUCCGUG
Molecule: ribosomal RNA, 490 nt
Filed under: uncultured bacterium
Lineage: Bacteria
Description: partial 16S ribosomal RNA
Rfam family: Bacterial small subunit ribosomal RNA
Source: RNAcentral